Molecule: ribosomal RNA, 869 nt
Filed under: uncultured bacterium
Lineage: Bacteria
Description: bacterial SSU rRNA
Rfam family: Bacterial small subunit ribosomal RNA
Source: RNAcentral
AGAGUUUGAUCCUGGCUCAGGACGGACGCUGGCGGCGUGCGUAAUACAUGCAAGUCGAGCGAGCGGAACCAACAGAUUUACUUCGGUAAUGACGUUGGGAAAGCGAGCGGCGGAUGGGUGAGUAACACGUGGGGAACCUGCCCCUAAGUCUGGGAUACCAUUUGGAAACAGGUGCUAAUACCGGAUAAUAAAGCAGAUCGCAUGAUCAGCUUUUGAAAGGCGGCGUAAGCUGUCGCUAAGGGAUGGCCCCGCGGUGCAUUAGCUAGUUGGUAAGGUAACGGCUUACCAAGGCGACGAUGCAUAGCCGAGUUGAGAGACUGAUCGGCCACAUUGGGACUGAGACACGGCCCAAACUCCUACGGGAGGCAGCAGUAGGGAAUCUUCCACAAUGGACGCAAGUCUGAUGGAGCAACGCCGCGUGAGUGAAGAAGGUUUUCGGAUCGUAAAGCUCUGUUGUUGGUGAAGAAGGAUAGAGGUAGUAACUGGCCUUUAUUUGACGGUAAUCAACCAGAAAGUCACGGCUAACUACGUGCCAGCAGCCGCGGUAAUACGUAGGUGGCAAGCGUUGUCCGGAUUUAUUGGGCGUAAAGCGAGCGCAGGCGGAAAAAUAAGUCUAAUGUGAAAGCCCUCGGCUUAACCGAGGAACUGCAUCGGAAACUGUUUUUCUUGAGUGCAGAAGAGGAGAGUGGAACUCCAUGUGUAGCGGUGGAAUGCGUAGAUAUAUGGAAGAACACCAGUGGCGAAGGCGGCUCUCUGGUCUGCAACUGACGCUGAGGCUCGAAAGCAUGGGUAGCGAACAGGAUUAGAUACCCUGGUAGUCCAUGCCGUAAACGAUGAGUGCUAAGUGUUGGGAGGUUUCCGCCUCUCAG